AGAAGGUGCCAGCAAAGCUGGCACCAGUGCUGGCUUAUUUCACAGUGAAACCAAAGACCAGAUAGGUAACCAGAUAGAAUGGAUAGUUCCCCUGAAAAAGCUCUAGGGUGGCAAGAAAGUCUUAGUUUAGGGGACCUUGUAAAUCCCAGAAAGUGACAAUAAUCAAUGCAGUGCUCCUCCACGGAUUGACAAAAAAGACUCAGAGACUCUGAUGUCACCAACACUAAUCUGAGAGAUCAGACAGAUCACUGAAACUUCAUAAUUCUGAACUUUUAAAAUUGGGUGGGUGGGUGGAUGGGGGUUAAUAUUGUUUGAGGUAAAUGAAAAAGUCUAGGGAACCUGGGGAGAGACCAAGCAGAGCUGACUGCUCCCUGAAAAGUGUAGCAAGAUUUGAAGUCAAACCUCAUCACAAAGCCCCAAUUAAAAAAGUAAAGAGAUGAAUAAAUCAAAGAAAAUGCUGACAUAAAACAAAGUAUUGAAAAUCUAGACCCCUUUAAAGUAGGAGAGAGUAACUUCAUAAUAACUUUAAACUCUCAAAAGAAAAAAAUAUUGAUUUCUUGAAGCAAAAUUUUAUGAUUUUGAUUAUGAUUAUGAUUAUGAUUAAAAGUUUUUAAUUUUAAAUUAAAACUUUUAAAUUUAACUUUUAAUUUAAUUUAAUUCUAACUUUUAAAUUAAAAACUAAGACUUUUUGGACUACCUGAAAGCCAUGAUCAAAGAAAGAGCCUAGAUAUCAUAUUUGAAAAAAUUAUCAAGGAAAGCUUUCCUGAUCUCUUUGAUCUAGAGAGCAAGGUAGAAAUUGAAAGAAUCUACUGAUCACCUCCUGAAAGAGAUCCCAAAAUGAAAACUCCCAGAAAUAUUAUAGCCAAAUUCUAAAGCUCCCAGGUCAAGAAAGAAAAAUUUUCAAGUAGUCACAAAAAAAAUUAAUUCAAAUAUUGUGGAACCAUAGUCAGGAUCCCACAAAAUUUGGCAGCUUUUACAUUAAAUAAGUGGAGGAAUAUGAUAUUCCAGAAGAUAGACAAAUUAGGGUGACAGCCAAAAAGAACUUAUCUAUGUAUAAUAUUUUGGGAAAAAAUGCAUAUUUAAUGAAAUUGGGAACUUCUAAGCAUUCCUAAUGAAAACAGAAUUAAAUAAAAAAUUUGAUGUUCAAACACAAAAUUCAAAAAACACACACUAAAAGGUAAACAUGAAAGAGUCGCCAAAAGGGAAUUAAUAAAGUUAAACUAUUUAUAUUCCUAUGUAGGAAGAUGAUACAUAGGUUUAUCAUUAUUAGGAUCCUUAAAAGGAAUUUAAGGGGCAGCUAGGUGGUACAGUAGAUAGAGCACCAGCCCUUGAAGUCAAGAGGACUUGUAUUCAAAUUUGACCUCAGACACUUAAUACUUCCUAGCUGUGUGACCCUGGGCAGGUCACUUAACCCCAAUUGCCUCAGCCAAAAAAAGAGGAGUUUAUAUAGAAAGAGGACAUGGGUAUGACUUGAUUAUGUUGGGAUGAUUACAAAAAAACCUGAAAUGAUUAAGAAAGAGAGAUACGCUGGGAGAAAAGGAGAGGUUAAAAAAAGGGGGAAUUUUUUUCACAUAAAAGGUGCAUAAAGAAGAGAUUGUACAUAGUGAACAAUGAACCUCACUCUCAUUGGAAUUAGCUCAAACAAGAAUAUAUACAUACACAGUUGUGUGUAGAAAUGUAAUUUACCCCAUGGGGAAAUAGGAAAAGGGGAUAAAAGGGAAGGAGACAUAACAAAUGAAAGGGUAGAUUAAGAGAGACAGCAGUUAGAAGCAAAAUAGACUUGAGGAGGGACAGGAUAAAAAGAUGAAGAAACUUCAAAGAAAAUAGAAAAAGCAUGGGAAUCAUAACUGUGUGAAUGGGAUGAACUCACACAUUAAACAAAACAAAUAGCAGAAUGGAUUAGAAAUCAGAAUCUAACAAUACAUGGUUUAUAAGACACGAAACAAAAAAUACACAUAGAGUUAAAAUAAAGGACAGGAGCAGAAUCUAAUAUGCUUCUGCUGAAGUUAAAAAGGCAGGAAAUAGCACAGGAUUUCACCUGAGUUCACGAAAGUCUACAGAAUUGAUCAAAUUGUAAAGCAAAAAUAGAAUUAAAAGAAGUCAGGGAAACUAUAUUGUUCUAAAAGGUACCAUAGACCAUGAAGAAUAAUAUUAUUUUUUCUUUUUUCUCCUUUUUUUUUUUAAUAAUUAUAACUUUUUAUUGACAGAGCCCAUGGCUGGGUAAUUUUUUACAACAUUAUCCCUUGCACUCACUUCUGUUCCGACUUUUCCCCUCCCUCCCUCCACCCCCUCCCCCAGAUGGCAAGCAGUCCUAUACAUGUUAAAUAUGACACAGUGUAUCCUAGAUACAAUAUAUGUGUGCAGAACCGAACAGUUCGAAGAGUAAUAUUAAAAAAAAACUUACAAUAUGUUUUUAUGAUAAAGGUGUCAUUUCUCAGAUAUAUAAUGGGUAGAGAACUAGGUCAGAAUUUAUGUAGUUUUUUUUUUUUUUAAUAGCCAUUCCUCAAUUGAUAAAUAGUCAAAGAAUAAAAUUUAUCUAUAGUCAUUUCAAAAAAUGCUCUAAAUCAUGGUUGAUUAGAUAAACGCAAAUUAAAAUAAUUCUGGGUGUCACCUCACAUCUAUCAAAGAUGAUAAAUGCUAGAGGGGGUCAGAGAAAAAUAGUUAUACUAAUGUAAACAAACAUACAGAUGUACUUUGUUGGUAGAAUAGUGAAAGUGUCAAAUCAUUCUGGAAAAAAUUUGGAAUGUUGCCUAAAGUGUUAUAAAAUUGUAUAUAUCCUUUGACCCAGCAAUACUCUUACUAGGUCUGUACACCAGAGAUCAUAGAAAAAGGAAAAGAUACAAAGGUACAAAAAAUGUUUAUACCAGCUUUUGUGUGUGUGUGUGUGUGUGUGUGUGUGUGUGUGUGUGUACUGAUAAAGAAAUGGAAAUUGAGGGCAUGUUCAUCAGUUGAUGGAGUACUAUUGUGCUGUGAGAAAUGAAAAGGGGGUGGUUUCAGAGGGGAAAAUAUGGCAAGAAUUAUAUGAACUGAUACAAAAUGAAGUGAGAAGAGCUAAAUCAUUGUGCACAGCAGCAGCGUUGUAAUAAUCAACUGUGAAAGACAUAACUACUCUGAUUCAGUACUGAUCCAGGACAAUGAUUCAGGACAAUCCCAAAGGACUCAUGAUGAAAAAAAGAGUGAAUUUGUGAACUCUGGAUACAAAUUGAAGUAUAAUUUUCUCAGUUUCUUUUUAUUGCUUUUUAAAAAAUAUGACUAAUACAGAAAUGUAUUUUGCAUGAUUUCACAAGUUUGAUGUGGGAGGGGGAAUGCAAGGAAGGGAGAGAAUUUGGAACUGAAAGUUUAAAAAAAAAAGAGAGAAUAUUUUAAAGUAAAUAAAAUGUUUUUAAAAAUAAAAUAAAAAUCUGAACACAAUUUGUCAAAAAAUUAGAAGAAUCUUCCAAAUCUGUUAGAACUAGAAAGCAAAAUAAACCUAAAAAGAAUUCAUCACUUACCUCCUGAAAGGAACACCAAAAUAAAAAGUCCCAGCUAUUUCUUUGAGGAACAUAGUGAAGAGUACACAAAACUUAGUGACUUGUAUUAAAACAGAUUUUGGGAUACAAUAUUUCAAAAAUUAAAAGAGACAAUAACCAAUAACUUAUUUUAUCAAGUAGUCCUAUAGUGGAAAAGAUGGAGCUUUAAUGGACUAGAGGACUUUGAAUUAUUUUAUGAAAAGAACUAAUAAUGUUGAAAUAUAAGCAUGAGUAUAGAGAAACUUAGGAAGGUUUCUCUCAAAACAAUAAUUUGAAUAAUUUUUUAGGACAUUCUAAAGUGGGAAAAGAAACAAGUUUCCCUUCAGAAUAUUAAUUUCUUCAAAGGGUACUAAAGAAAAAACCAGGUAAGUUGGUUGUUUUCAUGGCUUGAAGAAUGGAAAGUAAGAGGAGAGUCAGUGUAACAUAUGAGGGUAGAAAGGUUAAAGGCUUGAACACUCCCAUCAUCACAAACUUUGGUGUAGAAAUGCACCAAGUUCAACAGGAAAACAAAUGAGGAUGGGGAGGUAGAAAAUUAACAGGAAAGAUAAUACUGGGGAAGAAAUAGUCAGAAGCAAAACGAACUUCCUGAUCCUGACAUAGAAGAUUAAAAGGGAUUUUUUAAAAAGAAAACAAAAGCAAAAAAUUAGACUUUAAGGCCAUACUUUAGAGUACUCUUAGAAAACUGAGGAAUUGCUAAAUAAAUUAUAAUAUGUGAUUGUAAUAGAAUAUUAUACCUUUCAGAAAUUAUGAAAGAAAUAGUUUCGGAAAAUCCUGGGAAGUAUGGAAUGAUAAAGAAUGGAGUGAGCAGAACCAGAAGAGCAAUUUAUACAAUUAAGAAUAAUGCCUUGAAGUGGUUAUUAUAUCCUAAUGAAUGGGAGUAGUAAGGAUAAGAUAAAGGAAGGUAAGGGGAAAUUGUCUCACAUAAUGGGUGCUCAAGUUGAAGUCUAUAUAAAGAGGAAUGGGAUAGAGCAACUGACACUUGAAUCUUAUUUUCAUGUGAACAGUUCAAAUGAGGAGAAAAUACAUACAUAGUUGUGAAGAGAAAUACAUUUGAAGAAAAUGUAUUCCUGUAUCUAACAAGAAAAGGGAGAAGGUGAAUUAUAGGAAGGAUAAAUUAGGGAAAAGAUGAGUCCUAAAUACAAACAAUCUCAAAAUACAAAUAGGUUGUAGAGGUUUUUUGACGUGGCAAAGCAUAGAAAUCUAAGGGAACAUCCAUCAUUUGGGGGAAUGGCUGAACAAGUUAUAAUAUAUAAAUGUGAAGGAACCCUAUUGUAUUCUUAAAAAAUAAUGAAGGGGCUGUUUUCAGAGAUACCUGGGAAAAUUUGUAGGAAUAGACACAGAGUUAAGUGAACAGAACCAAGAGAACAAUUUAUAUGAUGAGAAUGAUAUUGUAAAAACAAACAGUUUGGAAAUACUUACAAAGUGUGUUCAGCAUAAUGCCAAUGAUGAACCAUACAAUCUGUAAUAAAGAGGUAAAGAAUUCAGUGCAGAAUGAGACGUGUGUAUGUGUAUGCACGUGUAUGUGCACAUGCACAUAUUUGUAUAUAUUUUCUGUCAGAUAUAACCAGUUCAGAAAUUUGUCUUGUUUGACUGUAAAGGGAUGGGAUUUUUAGAAAAACAAUUUUAAAAAGAAAAUAUCUGUGUAGCACCCCUUCUCCCCAGCACAUUCACACAACUUGCACCCUAGUUAGAUAAGAGAUUAAUUUCCCAGAAGGGAUGGCUACUUAUCCGAUGCAGGGAUCUUCAAACUACUGUCCACAGGCCAGAUGCGUCAGCUGAGGACAUUUAACCCCUCAUCCAGGGCUAUGAAGUUUCUUUAUUUAAAGGCCCACAAAACAAAGUUUUUGUUUUUACUAUAAUCCCGCCCUCCAACAGUCUGAGGGACAGUGAACUGGCCCCCUAUUUAAAAAGUUUGAGGACCCAAGGGUUGUAAGAUAAUACUAUGGGUGGCUAUUUCUGCUACAGUAGCUUCUGAGCUCUCACCAGCGUGCUUUCCCUUAAAUCAUCCAGUUGCCUCAGUUAACUCUCAGAAACAUUUAACCUCAAGGACAAAGCAAGAAUAAGCAUACAUCACAUUUUGCUCAUAAACUGAGGGCAUUCUGUCCUUCACAUAAAGCAUUUAUAGGGAAAGUAGACAUAAAUUUAAAUCAGUGUCAUAGUAAGGAACAUGUUACUAUUCUCCCCAGAAUCACUGAUUCUUAAAGAUUCACUAUGUUGAAUGACUGCUAAGAAAUCAUUAACCUGGUAUUUGCAGAAGCUUCUCCAAUUCUUUUUCCCUUGCCAGUACUAAGAGGGUUUUUCACCUUCUCCACCUCGCCCUACUUCAAGCAGCAAAUGGCCUUGCAGAGAUAUAAACCUCUUUGUCUUCCUAUAGAGCUCUAGGGUCUUCAAUUUGAUCCAACAUGAUUCAGGGCUGGGUUUCCACAGUGACAGAUUACACUCUUUAACUUACCGUGAUCUUUCAAUACAUUGAAAUCUUAAUUUCUUCAGGCUAGACCAAAAUCAGGCAAUAGACAGACUACCCGAUAAUAACAAAAUAUCCAGAGUUCUCUGGUUUUUAACUCUGAAAUUCUUUUGGUCCCAGCAAAUAUACAACGAUGGAAAUGAGGCCUUGAAACAUUCUUGUUGGUAAUUGUAUUGUCUCUGGGGGCUAUAUUCUUGGUGUUGCUCCUAAUCAGUAAAACUGCCCAUGUCUCAAGUGUGUACCAUGCACACACUUAAAAAUGAAUUUGUGUGUGUGGCCAUACUUAUUAUAUGGGAGAGAUUUGGAGGGGAUAGUGGGAGAAGGUGGUGGAAAUAAUAUGAUACUAAAAAGAAAAGAGUAUUUAAUGAUUAUUUUAAAAAUAAAAGAGAUUAGAAGGAAAUUCAAAAGGGGCAGCUAGGUGGCGCAAUGGAUCGAGCACCAGCCCUGAAGAUAGGAGUAUCUGAGUUCAAACUUGGCCUCAGACACUUGACACUUCUUAGCUGUGUGACCCUGGGCAAGUCACUUGACCCUAAUUGCCAUAACAACAACAAAAAAAGUAAUUUUAAUGUUAUUACUGGGCUUAUAUCUCAAAGAGAUCUUAAAGAAGGGAAAGGGACCCACACGUGCAAGAACGUUUGUGGCAGCUCUGUUUGUAGUGGCCAGAAACUGGAAACUGAGUAGAUGCCCAUCAAUUGGAGAAUGGCUGAAUAAAUUGUGGUAUAUGAAUAUUAUGGAAUAUUAUUGUUCGGUAACAAAUGACCAGCAGGAGGAUUUCAGAAAGGCUUGGAGAGAAAUGAUGCUGAGUGAAAUGAUCAGAACACAGAGAUCAUUAUACAUGGCAACAAUAAGAUUAUGUGAUGAUCAGUUCUGAUGGACGUGGCUCUGUUCAACAUUGAGAUGAUUCAGGCCAAUUCCAAUUGUUCUGUAAAGAAGAGAACCAGCUAUACCCAGAAAAAGAACUAUGGGAAAUGGGUAUGGACCACAACAGAGCAUUUCCACUCUUUCUGUUAUUGUGUGCUUAAAUCUUUGUUUUCCUUCUCAGGUUUUUUGCUUUCUUUCUAAAUCUGAUUUUCUUUAUGUAGCAAAAUAACUGUAUAAAUGUGUAUACAUAUAUUGGAUUUAACAUAUACUUUACCAUAUUUAACAUGUAUUGGACUACCUGCCAUCUAGGGGAAGGGGUGGAGGGAAGGAGGGGGAAAAUUGGAACAAAAGGUUUUGCAAUUGUCAAUGCUGAAAAAAUACCCAUGCAUAUGUUUUGUAUAUAAAAAGCUAUAAUAAAAAAAAAAAAAAGCUGCUACAAACAUUUUUGCACAUGUAGGUCCUUUUCCCUUUUUUCAUUAUCUCUUUGGGAUACAGACUCAGUAAUGGUACUGCUGAGUCAAAGGGUAUGCACAGUUUUAUAGUCCUUUGGGCAUAGUUCCAGAUUGCUCUCCAGAAUAGUUGGAUCAUUUCACAACUCCACCAACAAUGCAUUAGUGUUCCAGUUUUCCCACACCCCCUCCAACAUUUAGCAUUAUCUUUUCCUGUCAUUUUUGCCAAUCUGAGAAGUGUGAAAUGGUAUCUCAGGUUGACACAAAAAAAUUUCAAAUCAGCACCACAAUCUCAGAUACUCUUGUUUAUACAGCGUAUAUGAUGAAAGUGUCACUGAAAAAUAACAAAAAGGAAAGAAGAGAUAGAUUAAAUGGAUAAUACAGAGAGUUUCAGACAAUACAAUUUUGAGUAUAUUAAAAAGAUCAAGCUAUGAAUGGUGGGAAUAUCAAAAGCCUGGAAAUUCUUAAUUCUUAAAAAAAAGUCUCAAUAGCUACUGAACCAUAUAUUUACUUCAAUUUGUAAAAUAUUUAUAAGUGUAAUCAACACAUAUAAUAAUGUUAAACAAAAUGAAUAUACUACUUUAAGGUCUAUAGUAUGUUUCAUAUAUCCCUUUUGAUCCUCACCAUAUCUCUUGUGAAGUAGGUGUUAUUAUUAUUACAAUAUUAGCACAUAUCAAGGAUAUCCUUAAUGAAAGUUUGAAAUCAUAAGCAUGCUUUGGUAAGUGAUGUUCUAUAGAAAAUCACAUUUUCCUAGCCUUUCUAGCUAAAUUGGCCAAAUUGAAAAGUAAAUACAAGAUCCCUCUGUAGAUUACUAUUGUUAAUAUUUUUUAAAAGCAUUUAAUUUAGCUGAGUAAAAUUACCUUAAAAAUUACUUCCUCUACUCUUCAACAAGGUAGCUUCUAUGCAUAUAGCAAAAUAAUCCAAGAUUCUUUGAAAUAUUAAACAGUAGAGAAUACUUUGUCAGUCAAACUUCUUUAUUAAUGUCUCCCAAGAUAUAAAAAAGGGAGAUGUAUGUUCACCAAAGUUAUUUGUCAGUGUCAUAUGCAAUGUCAUCAUAGAGUUCAAAAGGAAGGUCAUCGGGCCAUGGACCCCUUUGGCAAUCUGGAUAAGCCUAUGACUUCUCAGAAUAAAUUUUUUAAUGGAUAAAGUAAAAAAAAAAAAGCAAAUCAUUUAUAUAAAAAAGCAGUUUUCAAAAUAUUUUUGAAAACAAGUUCACAAACGGAGUGGAUGCCCAUCAGUUGGAGAAUGCCUGAAUAAAUUGUGGUAUAUGAAUAUUAUGGAAUAUUAUUGUUCUGUAAGAAAUGACCAGCAGGAUGAUUUCAGAAAGGCCUGGAGAGACUUACACGAACUGAUGCUGAGUGAAAUGAGCAGGACCAGGAGAUCAUUAUAUACUUCAACAACAAUACUAUAUGAUGACCAGUUCUGAUGGACCUGGCCAUCCUCAGCAACAAGAUCAACCAAAUCAUUUCCAAUGGAGCAGUAAUGAACUGAACCAGCUACACCCAGAGAAAGAACUCUGGGAGAUGACUAAAAACCAUUACAUUGAACUCCCAAUCCCUAUAUUUAUGCCCACCUGCAUUUUUGAUUUCCUUCACAAGCUAAUUGUACAAUAUUUCAGAGUCUGAUUCUUUUUGUACAACAAAAUAACGUUUUGGUCAUGUAUACUUAUUGUGUAUCUAAUUUAUAUUUUAAUAUAUUUAACAUCUACUGGUCAUCCUGCCAUCUGGGGGAGGGGGUGGAGGGUAAGAGGUGAAAAAUUGGAACAAGAGGUUUGGCAAUUGUUAAUGCUGUAAAGUUACCCAUGCAUAUGACCUGUAAAUAAAAGGCUAUUAAAUAAAAAAAUUUUUUUUAAUUAAAAUUUAAAAAAAAAAAAGAAAAAAAGUUCACAAAAUCUGUGUUAUGAACCCCACAAUUGAUUGUAAAGUCUCAAAUAUUUCUGCUUAUAGAUGACAUGGUCGCGCUGUAUCAAACCCUGAAACAUUAAGAAUCUUAAUGAGAUUUGUAAUCUUUUAAAAAUAGUUUCAAAAUUAUUAUUCAUUUAUAAUUAUUCAUUUUUUAACAUUCAUUUUGUUAAAUUUUACCCUCUUUCCAGACUUUUCCAGACCCAUCAAGAAGGCAAAUAAUAAAUUAUGCAUGUUAAUUAAUGAAAACAUUUUCAUAUUAAUCAAAAAAGGGGGCAAAAGAAAUAGAGGGGGGGGAAAAGUAUGCUUUACUCUACCCUCAAAAUUCAUCAAUUCUCUCCCUGGAGGUAGGUGGCAUUCUUUCAUCAUGGGUGCUUUGAAAUUAUCUUGGAUCAUUGUAUUGAUCAGAAUAGCCAAGGCUUUCACAGUUGAUCAUUGU
This is a long non-coding RNA of Sarcophilus harrisii (Tasmanian devil), 9623 nucleotides long. The record is from Ensembl. NCBI's taxonomy places the organism in Eukaryota, Metazoa, Chordata, Mammalia, Dasyuromorphia, Dasyuridae.